RNAcentral lists this ribosomal RNA (278 nucleotides) under uncultured Treponema sp. Its description in RNAcentral is "partial 16S ribosomal RNA". It matches the Rfam family "Bacterial small subunit ribosomal RNA", at positions 511 to 788 of the family's 1533-position model. The record is from RNAcentral. Lineage: Bacteria; Pseudomonadati; Spirochaetota; Spirochaetia; Treponematales; Treponemataceae.
GCCGCCGCGGUAACACGUAAGUUGCGAGCGUUGUUCGGAAUUAUUGGGCGUAAAGGGCAUGUAGGCGGUUUUGCAAGCUUGAUGUGAAAUGCCGGGGCUUAACUCCGGCACUGCGUUGAGAACUGCAUGACUAGAGUAACUGAGGGGCAGCCGGAAUUCCAGGUGUAGGGGUGAAAUCUGUAGAUAUCUGGAAGAACACCAAUGGCGAAGGCAGGCUACCAGCAGAUUACUGACGCUGAGGUGCGAAGGUGCGGGGAGCAAACAGGAUUAGAUACCCC